AGAGCAAAGGACAGACAGCGCCCACAUGAGAGCUUGCUUCGUGGGGCUACCCUACUCCGGUAGGGUUUAGAGUCGUAGCACCUCUCGGAGAAGUGCUGUCCUGAACUCCACCCUUGAAUAAAUUACCUUUGUUGCUUUGGCGGGCCGCCUAGCGCCAGCGGCUUCGGCUGUUGAGUGCCCGCCAGAGGACCACAACUCUUGUUUUUAGUGAUGUCUGAGUACUAUAUAAUAGUUAAAACUUUCAACAACGGAUCUCUUGGUUCU
This 264-nucleotide unclassified non-coding RNA is filed under the name rhizosphere metagenome. Its description in RNAcentral is "partial ribosomal RNA internal transcribed spacer region". The record is from RNAcentral.